This 327-nucleotide ribosomal RNA is filed under the name uncultured eukaryote. RNAcentral describes it as "partial 18S ribosomal RNA". It matches the Rfam family "Eukaryotic small subunit ribosomal RNA", at positions 1470 to 1796 of the family's 1831-position model. The record is from RNAcentral.
CCCUUAGAUGUUCUGGGCCGCACCCGCGCUACACUGAAGGAGGCAGCGUGUACUCCUGGAUCGAAAGAUUUGGGUAACCCGCGAAUCUCCUUCGUGCUAGGGAUUGAGGUUUGCAAUUAUCCUUCAUGAACGAGGAAUUCCCAGUAAGUGCAAGUCAUAAGCUUGCGCUGACUACGUCCCUGCCCUUUGUACACACCACCCGUCGCUACUACCGAUUGAAUGAUUUAGUGAGGACUUCGGACUGGGACCGAUGCGGCUUUCGGGCUGCGUCGGUAUUCUGGAAAGAUGUCCAAACUGUAUCAUUUAGAGGAAGUAAAAGUCGUAACA